Molecule: long non-coding RNA, 4379 nt
Filed under: Sus scrofa (pig)
Lineage: Eukaryota; Metazoa; Chordata; Mammalia; Artiodactyla; Suidae
Description: lncRNA (ENSSSCG00000057395.1)
Source: RNAcentral
CAGCAUAUGGAGGUUCUCAGGCUAGGGGUCAAAUCAGAGCUACAGCUGCUGGCCUAAGCGCCGCAGCCACUGCAACAUCAGAUCUGAGCCUCAUCUGUGAUCUACACCGCAGCUCAUGGCACCACUAGUUCCUUAGUCCACUGAGUGAGGCCAAGGGUUGAACCCGCGUCCUCAUGGAUACUAGUCAGGUUCGUUACCGCUGAGCCACGACUGGAACUCGGACAUAUUGAAUUCUGUAUUUCUAACAUGAUACAGUACUUGACACAUAAUUCCUGAAUGAGCAAAUGAAUAAAUGAAUGAUUAAAUAAAUGAAAAUACAGGUGAAUAAAUAAGUUCAGAAAUGGAAAAAUAAAUAAAUAUGAAUGAAUGGACCAAUGAAUAAAUCAAAUGCCUAUUCUCUGUAUAAAUUUGUAUCUACAUAUCUACAUAUGGAUAUACAUGUACAGGUAUAUUAUGCACAUACACCUGCAUAAACUUCACAAAACGUGUUAUUCAUUCCAAAUUCUUGAGAAGGUACCAGUAGGGUCUGAGAUUGUUCUUGUGGGGAGAGUCAGGAAUCAGAACAGCCUGGUCCCCUGUUGGAGGCUGCAGGGGGACGUUACCUCCUGGGCAUUGGCCAUGAUGAUUUUAUUACUGGGACUCUCCCCAUUCAUGGUCCUACUUCCCAUUUUCGACCCCCAAACAUCUUGGCUCAUUGGCUUUCAGCCUCCCAGGAUGACCACUGAAUUUCAACAGGAAGAAUCCAGAAACAUGAGCCUGACCAUUAGAACCUGCACUCUGGCCCUGAUACCUGCUCUCCUUCCCCGGAGAAUGGGGCAAGAGUCUAGACCUGAAGUCUGCAGACUCUUCAGCUGAAAUGAGGCCCAAACAUACACCCAGAGUAUUGGGAUCCAGGGACGUGCACGGGGCACCCCGGGUACAGUAACUCUUGCUCCAGAUGCUCGCUCUGCCCCGCACUUGCUGCAUGAUUCGUGUGCCCUCUGGGAGCCUCGGUUUACUCUGUUGUUGAGUGGGGAUAACAACAUCUAUGAGGAAGGCCCACCUGAUAAGCACAGAAGAAAGAACUGUUUCGUUCCUGCCUGACAAAAAACUUUAAAACAGUAGCAGCGGAAGGAAGAAGUUACUCCUGGACAUGAGGCUCUGGGCACGGACCAGGGGAGGCUCCAGAAGGACAUGUAUUUCAUUGAAUCUACCAAUAGCCCCAUCCUUUUACCUUCAUGGUUCCUAGCUUUUCUCCUAAGACAGCCUGAGGCUCCCAGGAGCUGCUCUGCUGAACAAUUAAAUGAGUGACUGGAGAGUGUUAUGUGGAUCAAGACUAAAGACAAGGGUAUGGACACUUUGGCUCUUAUUUUGGGACAGAGCUUUUGUUCUUCCAUCUUUGCCAGCCAAAGGUUUGGGGUCUUGUAGUCUACAAAAAGGCUAAAGACAAAGGUAUGGACACCUUGGUUCUUAUUUUGGGACAGAGUUUAUUCUGCCAUCUUUGCCAACCAAAGGUCCAGAUGAGAAUGGUGGGCCCUCAGCAUGGCUGUCCUGUAUUGUGUCCUUUAGAAAGAGGCAGAGGAGAGAGCCAGCAGUUUCUGCACAGAAAACCCAGCCAUCAAACAAGUGUUGGGCUGGGGAAGCCACUCAAUCCUGUGGAGGGUCCUUUUUCAGAAUACGGUUGUCCAAGCCAGGAAGGAGAGCUAAAAAGAAAGAGGAUUUCAGUAAAAGCAGAGGGACCUUGGGGUCUCAUGGGUCUGGAUCCAUGACCCUGAGAAGAGGCACCUUCUUAAAUUUUGCACCUGGAUGACUACCUCACUUGCCUCACAAGAUCUUUGUCACCUCAUUUAUAAAGCGGGAUGUUGACCAUACCUAAUAAUCACAGUUAAUGUUAUUGAACAUUGUUAUGUUCCCUUCACCCAUGAAUGCAUUUAGCCUUCACAGCAAGCUUGCAAGCUGGGUUCAAUGAUUAUCCCCAUUUUACAAAUGGUCACACUGAGGCACAGUGCAAAUAAGCUGUAACUUGCCUGUGUUCUCAUAUCUAGCAGCUGGCCAAGCUGAGAUUUGAACCCUGGGAGCUUGGCCCCAGUGUCCAGUCUCAUUACCACCAUGCCAAAAUAGCUACAGUGCAGGGUGCAUGUGAGGGGGGGGCCCCAUGGGGUGACAUAGACAAGAAAUCAGUGCUGAAGAGAGAGAGAUUCAUUCAUAAAAUGAGUGGAGUCCUGUCACCCCACUCUUAGCUCCUCGACGUUCCUUGAUGCAUCCCUGGGCAAGUCCAAGUUGACAUACACCCCAAAGACCCAGCAUGGGCAACAGCAGCCUUGGGAUACACUUGCUCCAGCGGAGUCUGGAUCCAGGGUUUCCUGGGCACAGUCAAAACCUGGUUCUGGGUGUUUGGCUUCCCUCCCAGGGCUACGGACCUGACAUACAUCCUUAAUUCAGCCCCUGUGAGGCUGUCACAGGGUUCAUUCACAUGCAUAUUAGAUAAUGCCCGUUAGUGAUGCCCAUUAAUUAAGCAGAGCAAUUUGUUUAUAAUUAACUUGAGAAAUUUAUGGCUUUAGAAAACAAUUACAGGAGCUGAUAUAAACAUAUUAGGUAGCGAUAGCAAUGCCAAAUUUAAUUGCUUUCAAGAAGAACCACUGAUAUUAAUGCCAUGGUCAUCACUAGUCAUGUUUGACAGCAGCUUGUAAAUUCAUCCGUUUGUCUGUGAGCCAGCACCUCAGGCGAUUUGGAACAGGAAAUUUCAGCUCUUGGAAACUGCUUGUGGUACAGUGCUAAGCGAAAAAAUUAGGCUUGAAGAUAUAUAUAUGGUGUGUUCUCAAUUUGGUAAAAACAUGCUUUGUAUAUGUAUUUCCCCUUUAUGUGUAUAUAUACACACACGUAUAAAUAAUAUAUUUAUGUGAUAUAUGCAUUUUUGAAUAUAUAUAUACAAGUAUAAAUAAAUGUAUUUCUCUCCAGUGAAAAAAUACAUGAAAAUGAAAGAAAUACAUACGGAGCACAUAGAAAAGAAAGACGUCACUGUUGGUGAGUUUCCCUGGGUGAUGGGAUUACUGACUCUUUAUUUUUUCUUUAUGAUUUUUAGUAUUUUUCAAAACUUUUAUAGGAAGAACUUACUCUUUUGAUACCAAAAAAGUAAGGGUUAUUGAAAAGGUGGAAGUAGAAGAAAAAAGAUGAAAAAGGUAGACAUAUUGCCUUUUUCAAGGAAAUUACUUUAAAAAAAAAAAAAAAAGCAGACCUAUCUGCAAUAAUUGCAUGGGCUGCUUCCUUGGCAUUUUAAGAUUAUUUUGAUUUUCGUCUGAGAAAAUGACAAAAUAAACUCGCCGUGUUCACAAAUGUGAUCCUCAUCAUUGGGACAUUCCUGCUCUGGUUCUAUGACUGGGGAAGAAAGUGGCCGCCUUCAGCUUUUAAAAACAUCAGCCUGUGGAACUACUGGAAGAGGCUAUUGGCCCCAUUCCUACAUGGCAAGUGCCUGCGAAUUCAGAAUAAAACACAGCAACUGUUUUUUCUGGACAAGGAUGAAUAAAUGCCUUGCUGACAAGCCUGUGUACUUAGAAGACGGGUGGGGACCCAUCCUUGUCAAAUGAUGCAUCUUCCCCAAAUGUCACAAAUGAAGCAAAGAGCCAUUUGGCUAAAAAGCUGUGGAUGUCUUUUCAAAAAAAUGCAGUACCAGAAUGUCAGAGGGCUUGUCUGACCCCAACUGUUCCCUCCUGGUUGAGGACCCAGUGACCUGUGGGAUGGGGGUUCACCUACUAGCCAAAGACCAGUGCUUUUUUUUUUUUUUUUUUUUUUUUGUCUUUUUGCCUUUUCUAGGGCCGCUCCUGCGGCAUAUGGAGGUUCCCAGGCUAGGGGUCGAAUCGGAGCUGUAGCCACUGGCCUACGCCAAAGCCACAGCAAUGGGGGAUCCAAGUCGCAUCUGCAACCUACACCACAGCUCACAGCAACGCCGGAUCCUUAACCCACUGAGCAAGGCCAGGGAUCGAACCCGAAACCUCAUGGUUCCUAGUCGGAUUUGUUAACCACUGCGCCACAACGGGAACUCCUUUUUUUGUCUUUUUAGAGCCGCACCUGCGGUACAUGGAGGCUCCCAGGCUAGGGGUCAAAUCAGAGUUGUAGCUGCCAGCCGACACCACAGCCAUAGCAACUCGGGAUCCAAGCCCUGUCUGCAACCUACACCACACAGCUCACGGCAACGCCAGAUCCUUAACCCACUAAGCGAGGCCAGGGAUCGAACCCGAGUCCUCAUGGAUACUAGUCGGGUUUGUUAACCACUGAGCCAGGAUAGGACUCUGACACGGCCCUCGCCUUUCAUAUUGCAGCACAUUUAUAAUUACUCUUCAGCAUCUGCUUAAUAAAGACUUUUAAGCCCAUGACUGAUGCUCCUAAAAGUAUGGUCACGGGAA